UACGAAGGGGGCUAGCGUUGCUCGGAUUGACUGGGCGUAAAGGGCGCGUAGGCGGUUCGUACAGUCAGACGUGAAAUUCCUGGGCUCAACCUGGGGGCUGCGUUUGAUACGUGCGGACUUGAGUGCGGAAGAGGGUCGUGGAAUUCCCAGUGUAGAGGUGAAAUUCGUAGAUAUUGGGAAGAACACCGGUGGCGAAGGCGGCUCUCUGGACCGAGACUGACGCUGAGGCGCGAAAGCGUGGGGAGCAAACAGG
RNAcentral lists this ribosomal RNA (253 nucleotides) under uncultured bacterium. RNAcentral's name for it is "partial 16S ribosomal RNA". It matches the Rfam family "Bacterial small subunit ribosomal RNA", at positions 524 to 776 of the family's 1533-position model. The record is from RNAcentral.